This 1338-nucleotide ribosomal RNA is filed under the name uncultured bacterium. Its description in RNAcentral is "bacterial SSU rRNA". It matches the Rfam family "Bacterial small subunit ribosomal RNA", at positions 28 to 1381 of the family's 1533-position model. The record is from RNAcentral.
GACGAACGCUGGCGGCGCGCUUAAUACAUGCAAGUCGAACGAGAAGCCAGAGCUUGCUCUGGUGGAAAGUGGCGAACGGGUGAGUAACACGUGAGAAACCUGCCCCAAAGACUGGGAUAAGCCUUGGAAACGAGGUCUAAUACCGGAUACCUUCUUUUUAUCUCCUGAUAAAAAGAAGAAAGCUCCGGCGCUUUGGGAUGGUCUCGCGUCCUAUCAGCUUGUUGGUGAGGUAAAAGCUCACCAAGGCAACGACGGGUAGCUGGUCUGAGAGGAUGUCCAGCCACACUGGAACUGAGAUACGGUCCAGACUCCUACGGGAGGCAGCAGUAGGGAAUCUUGCACAAUGAGGGAAACCUUGAUGCAGCGACGCCGCGUGCGGGACGAAGGCCCUAGGGUUGUAAACCGCUUUCAGUUGGGACGAAAGUGACGGUACCAACAGAAGAAGCCCCGGCCAACUAUGUGCCAGCAGCCGCGGUGAUACAUAGGGGGCGAGCGUUGUCCGGAUUUACUGGGCGUAAAGAGCUCGUAGGCGGUUUGCCAAGUUAGAAGUGAAAUCUCCAGGCUUAACCUGGAGCGGCCUUUUAAAACUGGUAUGACUUGAGUACGGUAGAGGAGUGUGGAAUUCCCGGUGUAGCGGUGAAAUGCGCAGAUAUCGGGAGGAACACCUAUGGCGAAGGCAGCACUCUGGGCCGAAACUGACGCUGAGGAGCGAAAGCGUGGGGAGCGAACAGGAUUAGAUACCCCGGUAGUCCACGCCGUAAACGGUGGACACUAGGUGUGGGAUGCGAUCAACGCAUUCCGUGCCGCAGUUAACGCAUUAAGUGUCCCGCCUGGGGAGUACGGCCGCAAGGCUAAAACUCAAAGGAAUUGACGGGGGCCCGCACAAGCAGCGGAGCAUGUGGUUUAAUUCGAAGCAACGCGAAGAACCUUACCAGGUCUUGACAUCCAGGUAAAGCUGCAGAGAUGCAGUGUGUGCUUGCACAAUCUGAGACAGGUGGUGCAUGGUUGUCGUCAGCUCGUGUCGUGAGAUGUUGGGUUAAGUCCCGCAACGAGCGCAACCCUUGCCGGCAGUUACUAACAGGUGAAGCUGAGGACUCUGCUGGGACCGCCGGGGACAACUCGGAGGAAGGUGGGGACGACGUCAAAUCAUCAUGCCCCUUAUGACCUGGGCUACACACGUGCUACAAUGGCCGAGACAGAGAGCAGCGAGGGCGCAAGCCGGAGCGAAUCUCAAAAAAGCGGUCACAGUUCGGAUUGUGGGCUGCAACCCGCCCACAUGAAGCAGGAGUUGCUAGUAAUCGCGAAUCAGCAUGUCGCGGUGAAUACGUUCCCGGGCCU